RNAcentral lists this microRNA precursor (59 nucleotides) under Petromyzon marinus (sea lamprey). RNAcentral's name for it is "Pma-Mir-10-P3o1_pre stem-loop". Lineage: Eukaryota; Metazoa; Chordata; Hyperoartia; Petromyzontiformes; Petromyzontidae. The record is from RNAcentral.
UCCCUGAGACCCUAACUUGUGAGUUGGUUGCCCUGUCACUGGUUAGGCUCUUGGGAACC